Malus domestica (apple) is the source of this 82-nucleotide non-coding RNA. NCBI's taxonomy places the organism in Eukaryota, Viridiplantae, Streptophyta, Magnoliopsida, Rosales, Rosaceae. The record is from the annotation of a RefSeq genome assembly.
GUCGCUUUGGCCGAGUGGUUAAGGCGUGUGCUUGCUAAGUGCAUGAGGAUCCCCUGUGAGAGUUCGAACCUCUCAGGCGACG